CUUUCCUGCACACACGAAACAUCAGGGUCAUGCAAACUCUGUUACACUUGAAUGCACCUAAAAAACCCCAAAAAGCUUGUAAAAUAAGCUGCUCUGAGGGAAAGAAUCAACAUCUUUUUAAUUAAAUGGCUUCUCCUCCAGAUGGAGAUGACUCUGUAAUUCAACAGCACUGGAAAAUGAAAAUGCAGCCAAAGGGGCUUACAGGGCAUGCCUGAGGAUAAAUGAAGCACUAGUACUUCUGCUUAGUUUGUGUGGACCAAAUGUUAUAAUGACUUGGCACAUCCUCUUUCAAAGGAACAGCCCUUCACUUACUUGAAAGGAUGAAGACUGGAUCCCUUGUGCCUCAGCUUGGUUUUGUGUUUUGAAUGAUAACUGGAAAAUAAAACCAGCAUUGUUGGUGAA
Corapipo altera (White-ruffed manakin) is the source of this 402-nucleotide long non-coding RNA. RefSeq lists it as uncharacterized. The record is from RefSeq and is a predicted model, not a curated record. The transcript is spliced from 2 exons. Lineage: Eukaryota; Metazoa; Chordata; Aves; Passeriformes; Pipridae.